CCUACGGGAGGCAGCAGUGAGGAAUAUUGGUCAAUGGUCGCGAGACUGAACCAGCCAAGCCGCGUGAAGGAUGACUGUCCUGCGUAUUGUAAACCUCUUUUAUCAAGGAACAAAGACUGGCACGCGUCCCCUUUUGAGUGUACCUUAUGAAUAAGCAUCGGCUAACUCCGUGCCAGCAGCCGCGGUAAUACGGAGGAUCCGAGCGUUAUCCGGAUUUAUUGGGUUUAAAGGGUGCGGAGGUGGGUUGUUAAGUCAGGUGUGAAAGUUUGCGGCUCAACCGUAGAAUUGCAUUUGAUACUGGCAGUCUUGAGUAGAGGUGAGGUAGGCGGAAUGCGUGGUGUAGCGGUGAAAUGCAUAGAUAUCGCGAAGAACUCCGAUUGCGAAGGCAGCUUGCUAGACUGCCACUGACGUUGAUGCUCGAAAGUGUGGGUAUCAAACAGGAUUAGAUACCCGGGUAGUC
This 460-nucleotide ribosomal RNA is filed under the name uncultured bacterium. RNAcentral's name for it is "partial 16S ribosomal RNA". It matches the Rfam family "Bacterial small subunit ribosomal RNA", at positions 338 to 795 of the family's 1533-position model. The record is from RNAcentral.